This 2822-nucleotide long non-coding RNA is filed under the name Homo sapiens (human). RNAcentral describes it as "PREDICTED lncRNA (TCONS_00052702)". The record is from RNAcentral. Lineage: Eukaryota; Metazoa; Chordata; Mammalia; Primates; Hominidae.
GGGUUGGGCCAGAUAAGAGAAUAUAAGCAGGCUGCCCGAGCCAGCAGUGGCAACGCGCUCGGGUCCCCUUCCACACUGUGGAGGCUUUGUCCUUUCGCUCUUUGCAAUAACUCUUGCUACUGCUCACUCUUUGGGUUCACACUGCCUUUAUGAGCUGUAACACUCACCGCGAAGGUCUGCAGCUUCACUCCUGAAGCCAGCGAGACCACGAACCCACCAGAAGGAAGAAACUCCAAACACAUCUGAACAUCAGAAGGAACAAACUCCGGACACGCCGCCUUUAAGAACUGUAACACUCACGCGAGGGUCCGCGGCUUCAUUCUUGAAGUCGACAGAGUCUUGCUCUGUCGCCCAGGCUGGAGUGAUGAGGCGCGAUCAUCACUCCACCUGGGCUCACUGCACCUCCGCCUCCCGGGUUCAAGCGAUUCUCCUGCUUCAGCCUCCUGAGCAGCUGGGAUUACAGAGUCCCUGUCAUCCAGACUGGAGUGCAGUGGUACAAUCCCGGCUCACUGCAACCUCCACCUCCUGGGUUCAAGCGAUUCUCCUGUCUCAGCCUCUCAAGUACCUGGAAUUACAGGGAAUACAACCAACCUCUUCAUCACAUGAAGACAUUUUUUUCAUGCUUUUCCAUGUUCCUGAAAUGCCCUCCCCUAGGAGCUUCCUCCAAUUUAUCUACUCUUUCACAUUCAAGAAGAGUUGAAUCAAGAUGUUUAAGUCUCUGGAGAGUUAAGUAUUUUGUAGGAGGAAGAAUAUCAAGGUUGUGGAAAAAAAAAAAAAAAAACCUUGUUGUGGCUGAGAAACUGGGCUGGAGUCAGGAGGCUGGUGAUGGCCCCAGUUCUACCACUAACUAGCCAUGUGCCUACGAUGCUUCAUUUCACCUCUUGAGAUCUAAAUUUCCCCGUACGUCAAAGCAAAGAGACAGAUCUCGCUUUGUCGCCUGUCAACGGCUAGAGUGCAGUAGCGUGAUCAUAGCUUACUGCAGCCUCGAACUCCUGAGCUCAAGCAACCCUCCCUCCUCAGCCUUCCCAGGUCUCCUGAUUUCAAGUACAGUUCUUGCCAACACACAGUGGUAAAGGGUAUGAUUACCUAAGCCUUAGCACAGAAGGUAGCACCCCUUACUGGUGAGCUAUCAUGAAACUAUGCGACAAUUUUCUCCAUCUUUUUUAGAGUUGUUUUCCUUGUCUUCCUCCUCAUCACGAUUAUUAUUGCUUUUUCAUUCAGCAAAAAAUCUGGUAGGAGACUGCACAGAAGCAUGAUCACUUGCUAUCAACAGUGUAACCCUACCUAACUUCCCUAAUCCCUAGCAAAUGAAGGAAAAAUCAUAUACAGGCACUGACAAAUAGCAACACAAGAAAGGGCAACAAAAUUACUAAAGAGUAACGCCAUCCUCCCCAACUCAAACCAGGGAAAGUAAGCUUGCCUAGGAACUUAGGCUGAAACUCACCACAGUGCCAAAAACCUGUUUUCUUGAAAAGAGGUAGUGCAGAUAGUGAAUCCACUGAGCCACAUAGGGUGGGAGUUUGCUUUAAGUGCUUUUCUUCUUGCCCACAAACUAGCGUAGGCUGUGACUGGCUCCAGCUGAUCCUUAUCAAGGCAGCUAGUUCUGAGGGCUUGGUUAAGAAGCUCUUCGUUUACUUAAGGGAGCAAAGAGAAGACACGUGAAUUGGAAAAGGAUAUCUAAAAUGUCCCCUAAGGCUUCAUAAAGUUGACAUCUUUCGUCAUGACUUCUACAGUUCAGGAAACCAGCAGGAGACUUUGAUUAAAGUGAGAAGCAGCCAAGAUUCCGGGAAGCGCGUCUUUCUCCUGUCUCCUCCCCAAGAUGUGCGGGUGUCCUUCCCCCAACACCAUGGAAGAAGGGGUCCAGGAAGAAAAUGUCACACUUGCCUGUGACCCCCACCUGGUCUGCAGAAAGGCAGAGAAGACCUGCUUAUGGAGGAAAAAGACGGCCUCUGUCUGGAGCUUCUAUGAAUUACAUAACGAAUAAGUGAUUUCACUACAAAGCAGUGAAAUUUUUAAAAGUUAACCAGUGGCAGAAGUGUCAGGACAGUCUGCACGGGCAAGAAUGAUACCUAAAUCACUACUCAGGCACAGGAGAGAGCAGGACUGGCAUGGCUGGCAGUUCUCUAUGUAGCAGGCGCUGUACUUUGGCCAAGCCAAUCUCCAUUUGCAACAUGUUUCUCCCUUACUUGACUCCACUAUAGAGAGAGUAAAAGCUAAAUUUUGAUGUUCCACCCCCACCCCCUUAUUGAUAUGAGAAAUAAGUCUUCUGGUGCAUUCCUCUCCAAUUUCUGUCUUCUUUCCACUUGAGCUGCCAGGAGAUGCAACAGUCGUUUUGAAACCAAAAAGAUAAAAACUGCAUACUAAGAAUGCAUGAACCUAAAGAUUUACAGAGCCUGGGACACUGGGGAUACUUGGAGUCAAUGUAUCAGCCUUGGACUGAUUCCCAUGGGACUUCUUAUUACCCAAGUGAAACAGUCCUUCCUUUCAUCUGUUAAGCCACUAUGGUAUGUUUUGCUGGUUCUCGUAGCCAAAUACAGUUUUGACUGCUAUACCCAUUUUUUUCUUAUGGAUGUUCAUGACUUCUUUUAUAUUGUGGAUUGUAUUGUGAAUAUGUAUCUUAUUUGUUGCAAAUAUUUUCUCAGUCUUUUUGUCCUUUAAUUUAAGAUAUUAUUCAAUGCUUGUAAGGUUUUUAUGUUUAUGCUGUUAUAUAUAUCCAUUUUUUCUGAUUUAUUCAAUUGAAAAAUUGAGAAACGUAAUUGAUAAUUUUGAACAUUAUCGAAGAAGACAUCAAUAAAACAAAACAUAGUCUAGCAAUUACAAAA